UACAGAGGUCUCAAGCGUUGUUCGGAUUCAUUGGGCGUAAAGGGUGCGUAGGUGGCGCUGUAAGUCGGGUGUGAAAUUUCGGAGCUUAACUCCGAAACUGCAUUCGAUACUGCGGUGCUUGAGGACUGGAGAGGAGACUGGAAUUCAUGGUGUAGCAGUGAAAUGCGUAGAGAUCAUGAGGAAGACCAGUGGCGAAGGCGGGUCUCUGGACAGUUCCUGACACUGAGGCACGAAGGCCAGGGGAGUAAACGGG
This 253-nucleotide ribosomal RNA is filed under the name uncultured bacterium. RNAcentral describes it as "partial 16S ribosomal RNA". It matches the Rfam family "Bacterial small subunit ribosomal RNA", at positions 524 to 776 of the family's 1533-position model. The record is from RNAcentral.